AAAGCGUUUUCCAUAACUGACAAGGCAGAAAUAAGUGUCCAACUUGGCUUAAAUGAAAUUUUCAUUUCUGCAUUUAAUAGUUUUUAUUUUUUAUUUUUUUUAUUUUUGAGACUAUGCAUAGUGGUAAGAAAAUAUGAUUUGGUGUGGAGGGUGAUGUAUGUCCUACCUCAUGUAAUUUGGUCCAGCAGGAACUGAAAGUUUGACUUUUUAGGAAGGUUCUCUCCUCGAACUUGGAAGAGAGGUGUUCACAAGCCAUUUCCACAUAAUUUUCUCUUCUAUUCUUGGAAGGUUCCACAAAUUAUUUUCUAUUUAUGUCUGUGUCAGAAAAUGAGAGGGAAGUAGUCUUGAUCAGGCUCACAUUUUUUUGUUGCUUCAGAGAGAGGAGGCUCUAAUGAAGAGGGAUGUCUCAGUGGAGGGGAGUGAGAGGCAAGACUUCUUUGAAAGAAAGUUUUUCAGUGUGAUACAUGAUUAGAGAUAUGGGCAUAAAACAAAAUUUAUCCAUGUUGUUGGCAGGAUCCAACUGAUGGAGUUCCUUUAAAACCUUGCUCACACUUGUACUUUUCAGACUAUUCAAUGACUCUUUCUGUGAGACAUCUAGUUUGCUUCCAUGGAGGAAAUUGCUCCAUUAAGCACUUCAUAUUCACUUCCAUUACAUAUUUUCUGAUUUUUUUUUUUUCAUUAUUCUUCGAUUUUCUUCUGAAAUAACAAGAUAAGGAAACUGUUUACUAGGUACAGUCAAAUUUAUUAAUUGGCUUAUUCCCCAAAUAAACCCAACUGCACAAUUUCUACCUGGAUAUUACUGAUUCACAAUGUGCUUAGUUGUUAUUCACAUAUUCGAAUAUGAUAAUGUAUGUUUACAAGGGUAGUUUUUAUUGUAUUAACCUUGUAUUUAUAAUUCAAUUGCUAGCAAACAUCAAAUGCUUCAUUGAGGUCAGAUGGAUCAACCAACAGUUUCCUUCAGAAGAAGUUAUUUCUUACCAUGGGUUCUACAGAGAACUUUACAGGAAUCUGUGCAUUUUUCCUAAGGAUGUCAGAUAAAGUUAUAACCACAUCAAAUGUUUGCCAGGAGGUGAAUUUUGGCAUCUUCGAUUGUUCUAAUGGAAAUAUCCUUCAGGGUCUGGAAUUGUUCUUGUCCCAGAUCAUGAUACCAGCGCUUAAAUCCCAGCAGGUAAUCAAAUAG
This 1180-nucleotide long non-coding RNA is filed under the name Phasianus colchicus (ring-necked pheasant). RNAcentral describes it as "lncRNA (ENSPCLG00000002730.1)". Lineage: Eukaryota; Metazoa; Chordata; Aves; Galliformes; Phasianidae. The record is from RNAcentral.